AACGCAUAUUGCACUCUCUGGCUCUCCAGAGAGUAUGCCUGUUUGAGUAUCAGUUUAAACUCUCAACCUCCUAUUGGGGGAUGAGGAAUUGAGCGGUCCGCUUGUAGUAGAUUGCUUGCAAUUUGUUACACUUUGGCGGUUGCUUGAAAUGGAUAGCUUAGCGGUAUUGACCACUGCUUAAGAUGACUAGGCGUAUUAGUUUCCCAAUUGGGAAUCCACUCGUGCGCCGGUGUAUUGGUCUCUAAAGCCUUUGUGUUGGUUGAUCGCCGAGCUCUUCCCCAAGUGUUCUUUUGGGCACUUACCGAGUAUGGCUUGCAGUUUGCAUGCUGAACUUGAUCUUGAUCUCAAAUCAGGCAAGACUACCCGCUGAAUUUAA
RNAcentral lists this unclassified non-coding RNA (376 nucleotides) under uncultured Basidiobolales. Its description in RNAcentral is "sequence contains ITS2". The record is from RNAcentral. Lineage: Eukaryota; Fungi; Basidiobolomycota; Basidiobolomycetes.